CCUCAACGUAAGAACGGUUGGAGGCACCUGCAGCUACCCUGUAGUUGCGGACUGCCAACUCCAGCCGCGGCCCGCCGGCGGUACACUAAACUCUGUUUUAUUUUAUAUUCUGAGCGUCUUAUUUUAAUAAGUUAAAACUUUCAACAACGGAUCUCUUGGUUCUGGCAUCGAUGAAGAACGCAGCGAAAUGCGAUAAGUAAUGUGAAUUGCAGAAUUCAGUGAAUCAUCGAAUCUUUGAACGCACAUUGCGCCCAUCAGUAUUCUGGUGGGCAUGCCUGUUCGAGCGUCAUUUCAACCCUUAAGCCUAGCUUAGUGUUGGGAAUCUGCUGUACUGCAGUUCCUUAAAGACAGUGGCGGAGCGGCGGUAGUCCUCUGAGCGUAGUAAUUUAUUUCUCGCUUUUGUCAGGCUCUGUCCUCCCGCCAUAAAACCCCCAAUUUUUUAGUGGUUGACCUCGGAUCAGGUAGGAAUACCCGCUGAACUUAAGCAUAUCAAUAAGCGGAGGAAAA
Molecule: ribosomal RNA, 507 nt
Filed under: Apiospora sacchari
Lineage: Eukaryota; Fungi; Ascomycota; Sordariomycetes; Amphisphaeriales; Apiosporaceae
Description: eukaryotic LSU rRNA
Rfam family: 5.8S ribosomal RNA (bases 136-289)
Source: RNAcentral